CCCUUAGAUGUUCUGGGCCGCACGCGCGCUACACUGAUGAAUUCAACGAGCUCCUAACCUAGGCCGAAGGGUCCGGGUAAUCUUUGAAAUUUCAUCGUGAUGGGGAUAGAUUAUUGCAAUUAUUAAUCUUCAACGAGGAAUUCCUAGUAAGCGCGGGUCAUCAGCUCGCGUUGAUUACGUCCCUGCCCUUUGUACACACCGCCCGUCGCUCCUACCGAUUGAAUGGUCCGGUGAAAUGUUCGGACCGCGACAAGGCGGACGGUUCGCUGUCAGCUUUGCUGCGGGAAGUUCAUUAAACCUUAUCAUUUAGAGGAAGGAGAAGUCGUAACA
Molecule: ribosomal RNA, 330 nt
Filed under: uncultured eukaryote
Lineage: Eukaryota
Description: partial 18S ribosomal RNA
Rfam family: Eukaryotic small subunit ribosomal RNA
Source: RNAcentral